CUGGUCAGAGCGCCUAGAAAGGGACCGGGCCGGCCGCCAUAUUGGAGCCCUGGAGCUGCGGCGGGCCAAGGCUUCGUGGGGCUCGUGGAGCUGAGAGGUGGCAUGGUGUCUGACCCCUGCCCCAACCACUGAAUUUUCGUUACGUCCUGGAUUGCAAAGGACCUCAGAGCAAUCUUUGGUAGAUAACAUGAUCACGAAGGAUUAUAGCUUUGCCCUGAUAAUGACAAAGGAAGUAUCUACCAGAAGAAGUUAGCACUUAAUCUUUCUUACCCCACCAGCGAAUGUAAACGACAUUGAAAAGGGACUACAAGUAAGCAAUCUUACUCGGACUGAUGCUGAAUGAACUAAUGCUUGUAUUCAAAGUUGAUAACCAUGGAAAACUUUUUUGUUACCUCUAUAUUAAUUGUGCAAAAUAAUGUGUUUCGUUGUGACAUCUUCAUGCAAGUAAUGUUAGUUAACACGUUCAUCAACCCCUUCCCUUACCCACCAAUGAAAAUGCAUUCAGAUUACUUAAAGGACUUUGGAGCCUAUUUGCUCUGCAUCUCAAAUUACACCUUUUCCCCAGUAACUAAAACAGUACUGUGUGUUUGUUUUUCAGGUUCUGAGGUUCACUAGAGAAAGAUACUAGAAGACCUGCUGAGGGUCUCUGAGAAGUUAAAAAUGCUGAUAUGCAUAAUUUGUGUAUUUUAUUUUUCCCUCCUGAGCUUUUCGAAGGAGAUGCAUAGCUUGGUGGUGAGGAUUCACACAGCACGGUCAAGACCCUGGAUUGGAUCCCUGGCACUGGUUUGUUUGUAUCAGUGAAAAUACACACUGUGCCUUUGUUAGAAGUUAAUAAAAUUCAGCUGACAUGUAGAUCUUCCUUUCAAAAAGCUAGGCAGGCUGCUUUUAAAAUUGCCAAAACACAAUAGGAACCCUCAAAGAUAUAUGGAGAUGAUGGUAGUUAAUAGGCAGUUUUCAAAGACUUGGCUUAUGUUGUGAGAAGCAGCCCCAGAAGUGGCAAAAGCCAUUCUUGUGACUUCAGCAACCUAAAAACCUCAGAAAUAUGACGAUUCUUCUACCUGUAAUGAUGGAACCGCUACUUGGAUCAAGAAAAAGCAAAAAGAAAAAUUACAUUUUUGAGUAUGUUUUCUGCACAUAUCCCAAAGAAGUGCAGCAACCAUUGUCAUACAGACCUGGUGACAAAAGUUCUGUUUAAAGCACACCAUCUGUGCAUGAUUUCAUUAAACAUACCAGGACUUGGGAAGUUUGAGUUAAGAACUGGCUUGGGCAUUCCAAGAUCAUAUCUCAGAAAACAUCCUGGAUGCUGGGAUUAAAGGUAUGUACCACCAUUCCUAGCUUAGAAUUGCAUACAUUUUUAAGGCCUUAAAUGUAUAUAUUUAUGCUAUAGUAAUUAUCUCUAUUUUGUCUUUACAGUGUAACCGUUGAUGAACUCCACUCUCCGCGAAAAAUAAUACCAAGAUUUUUGGAGUUCAUAGCUCACAAUUCAACAGUUCUUAAUCCUUAUACACAUACAGAGAGAUUUUCACAUACUUGUCCAGAAUGAAAAGCAAUGUAGACAAAAAAUUCUCUUUGAACAAACACAAUAGUAUAAGUGAAGAAUGAUUCCCAAGGCCCUCUGCUCCGCAUAGGAACCUUAGAUCAGAAUCUGACCCUAUCAGUACUGAUACUACUUAACUGUGAGUGGUCCUUAGUAACAGGUACUGAGCUCAGUGAUUCCUAAUGUCAACCUAGCGGGACCUGGACUUGUUACAAUACACACAUAGACCACUGCUAAGUUCCAGGAGCUAAAUACUGCCUCGUUGAUCCUAAGCAUAUAGGAUAAAGGGCUUUCCCUUCCAGAACAGUUAAUAUGCCUGGGCCAUGUGUUACUGAAGUACAGCAGAUCUAUCACAGUUUUAAAAACAAUGCUGUCUUUUUCUUUUCCUUUGGAGCUGGGGACCGAACCCAGGGCCUUGCACUUGCUAGGCAAGCGCUCUACCACUGAGCUAAAUCCCCAACCCUAAUACUGUCUUUUUAAGACAGGGUUUUACCUUAUAGACUAGGUUGGCCCCAAAUUUGGCAAUCCAUCUGCUUUUGCCUCCUGAGUGCUAGUAUUAUUUAAGGGGUUACUUUCUGUGGGUUGUAGGUAUAGGUGAGUGCUGAUGUCAGAGGAGGCCAGAGGUGCCAGAUCUCCCUGUACCUAGUUAACUAAGUAACUAUGAGGUACCCAACUUAGUUGUUGGGACCCAAACUUCAGCCGGAUGAUAGAACAACAUUCACAGUUAACCAGUAGGCAUCACCAAUUCCUUGAGAGCUACAUCCACUCCGUCUUCCUGGUCCUAUUUUCCCGCACUCACCACCACCAGGUCUUGAGAUGGAUUGGAUUAGCCUGUAAUUUAGAACUCUGGUUGCCUUCCAAAAGCUGCGAUUGCUGGCUUCUCUAACCAGCUUCUGGCUUCUGUUUUUGUUUAAAAAAAUAAAUAACUGGGUGUGGUGGUACGUGCUUUUAAGUCCUGGCACUGGGGACAUGAAGGUAGGAGGAUAUUCAAGGUCAGCUUGGUGUAGAGUUUCCAGGACAGCCUGGCCUAUAUAAACUCAACCAGUUGUGUUUUUAAGACGGGAUUUCUGUAACCCCAUAGUAUAAUCAUGCCAUGUUUGUAUAUACAAGGCACUAAUUUUGGUCUGUCAAAGAAUCUGCUCUGUAGCCAGGCUGACCUCAUGUUCUGGCCUGCCUCUGCCCACUGAGCGCUCACAGCCACCUCCCUCAGCCAAUUUUUUAAGAUAAUUAGGAAUGAAUGUACCCUUUUAUCACUUGACUAGAAAAUGGUAGUCAACCAAUAGAGGUAGGAAAAUCUUCAAGAUUUAUAAUGCCCUCUCUCCAAAAGCUAAGUACAAAAUCAUCUACUUUCUAACUCCUCUUUCCUGCAGCAAAAGACUUGUUCACACACCAGCAAGCUACAGCUAGCAGCCAGACGGUGUUACAUGAAUUGGGCCUUUUCUUCUGCUUCGCAUGUACACAGUAGUUGUAGCAUAGUUGGUAAAUGAAUAUCUUGUUAAAUAUACAACUGGUGGAUUGCUUAGUCCUUCAAAAUUUGACCUAGCAUUGGAUGUAAUAGACUAGUUUACAACAGGGACACAUAGAACGGCCCAUGUAUUUAGAAGUAAAAUCUCUUAGGGAUGGGAAAGAUGGCAGAUCACUUAAGAGACCUUGCUCUUAUAGAAGUCCCAGUACCUAAAUUUGAUGUCUCACAAAUUUUGCAAAAGUUGCAGGAGAUCUGACACCCUCUUGCCUCCAUGUGCAUCUGCAUGAAUGUGCUGCACGUAUGCUCAAUAUAUGUUAAGGUUUGUGUCAUAAUUCAUUGAGUGCCAUGACCUAAAAACAUAGUUAAGUGUAUCUUGUAAAGAUGUGCCUACAAAAUAUCUCCAAAGUGAAUGGAUGAAAGACAGACCUGCCCUCAGUUUAAUAUAUUUUUAGACUCAAUCUAAAGUGCCUAGGUUGUGUGUGUGUGCCAACAAAAGACGUAGAUUCUCUGGGUGGCUGUGAGUUCCAAGGUAAGUGCUGGAAUGGGCUCUUAACCUCCUAAUACACAAUUUCAAAUUUUAAUGAGAUCUGGGAGAGUAGUAUAAUCAUGCCAUGUUUGUAUAUACAAGGCACUAAUUUUAGUCUUCAGAUGGCUACAUAUAUUGACUGGCUUUUAACUUACAAAGAUCUACUUGCUUAAUUAUAGCUGUAGCAAUUCAUGAAAGGAUAUUAAGGGAUCUGCAUUUACACAUUUUAACAUUAAAACAACAUGUAAGUAAUGGGCUCUGUGAUCAAAUUCUACAUAAUUAAAAGCUCUGCCCUCUUAUUUGUUGACAUAUUUGUGAAAUAAACUACUGAGUCAGGGCUGCAGCUCAGUUGAUAGUGUUUGCAUGAAGCCCUGUAUUUGCCUGCAGCACUCAAGAAAUAA
Molecule: small RNA, 3929 nt
Filed under: Rattus norvegicus (Norway rat)
Lineage: Eukaryota; Metazoa; Chordata; Mammalia; Rodentia; Muridae
Description: uncharacterized LOC100912031
Source: RNAcentral